This 528-nucleotide ribosomal RNA is filed under the name Fusarium napiforme. RNAcentral's name for it is "eukaryotic LSU rRNA". The stretch from base 181 to 334 matches the Rfam family "5.8S ribosomal RNA". RNAcentral also lists the same sequence under 1 other name. Lineage: Eukaryota; Fungi; Ascomycota; Sordariomycetes; Hypocreales; Nectriaceae. The record is from RNAcentral.
UCUCCGUUGGUGAACCAGCGGAGGGAUCAUUACCGAGUUUACAACUCCCAAACCCCUGUGAACAUACCAAUUGUUGCCUCGGCGGAUCAGCCCGCUCCCGGUAAAACGGGACGGCCCGCCAGAGGACCCCUAAACUCUGUUUCUAUAUGUAACUUCUGAGUAAAACCAUAAAUAAAUCAAAACUUUCAACAACGGAUCUCUUGGUUCUGGCAUCGAUGAAGAACGCAGCAAAAUGCGAUAAGUAAUGUGAAUUGCAGAAUUCAGUGAAUCAUCGAAUCUUUGAACGCACAUUGCGCCCGCCAGUAUUCUGGCGGGCAUGCCUGUUCGAGCGUCAUUUCAACCCUCAAGCCCAGCUUGGUGUUGGGACUCGCGAGUCAAAUCGCGUUCCCCAAAUUGAUUGGCGGUCACGUCGAGCUUCCAUAGCGUAGUAGUAAAACCCUCGUUACUGGUAAUCGUCGCGGCCACGCCGUUAAACCCCAACUUCUGAAUGUUGACCUCGGAUCAGGUAGGAAUACCCGCUGAACUUAA